This 492-nucleotide ribosomal RNA is filed under the name uncultured bacterium. RNAcentral's name for it is "partial 16S ribosomal RNA". It matches the Rfam family "Bacterial small subunit ribosomal RNA", at positions 29 to 507 of the family's 1533-position model. The record is from RNAcentral.
AGUGAACGCUGGCGGUAGGCCUAACACAUGCAAGUCGAACGGCAGCACAGUAAGAGCUUGCUCUUACGGGUGGCGAGUGGCGGACGGGUGAGGAAUACAUCGGAAUCUACUUUUUCGUGGGGGAUAACGUAGGGAAACUUACGCUAAUACCUCAUACGACCUACGGGUGAAAGCAGUGGAUCUUCGGACCUUUCGCGAUUGAAUGAGCCGAUGUCGGAUUAGCUAGUUGGCGGGGUAAAGGCCCACCAAGGCGACGAUCCGUAGCUGGUCUGAGAGGAUGAUCAGCCACACUGGAACUGAGACACGGUCCAGACUCCUACGGGAGGCAGCAGUGGGGAAUAUUGGACAAUGGGCGCAAGCCUGAUCCAGCCAUACCGCGUGGGUGAAGAAGGCCCUCGGGUUGUAAAGCCCUUUUGUUGGGAAAGAAAAGCAGCAGGUUAAUACCCCGCUGUUCUGACGGUACCCAAAGAAUAAGCACCGGCUAACUUCGUG